CUAGCAGUUGACUGACUUCAGUGCCAGUAUAUAAUUUUUAUUAAAUGCUUAUACAAAUACAGAAUAGGAACACAGAGCCACUGAAGAAUGGAAGGAUGGAAAGGAGGAGGGUAGAAGGGAGGGAGACGCACACCUUCCGAUCAUGUCCAGUACAUGAUAGGAGUGGAAAGGACUAGAGACAGCGGGGCCGAGGUCCUGAGCUACAGUGGACCCGGGGCCCCAUGGCUCUUCAUAAGGUGCCCAUCCCACCCGGUGCCUGGUCCGCAGAGUGUGCUCCAAGCACAGAAUGCCGCCACCAUUUCCAAUUAGAAUCAAUUCCCCAAACCACCUCCAAAGGUCCUCCUGCUUCACAUUUCAUUGCACCCCGAGGAACACAGAAGCCACAGGGUGGAUGGAAUCACUGGCUGCGCAAAUGCUUUCAUUAUAAUGGGUCCCAUUCUCUCUGAACCUUUCAUGUCCCCAGUGGACUUCCAUCACUUGCAAGCCACAACUCUGGGUUUUAUCUAAUUUCAGUGAAAGGGAAAUGGCACUUGGCUCUGCUACUUUCAUCAUGGGAAAUUAUCAUCAGGCAGUCAGGAUCACGUGCGCCUAAUGCCGGCCUGGGUCUUCAGAACAGAGGAGGAGGGAGAAGAAAGAGGCUAAGUGAGCUACCUCUUCAAAAGCAGAACAAGUCACCUGUGGAAGUCACCACGAGUUGGGCUGAGGAAUGUGACCUCUAUCCUGCAGUAAUGGAGAGAAGGACCAGUAACACGCCUGGGGGAGAUGGGCAGUCUUUGAGCAAGCGGUCCUCCCAGCAUGCAUCUGUCUGGUUGUCCAGCAGGUAUGGAGCAAACAGGUACCCUUCGUCAGGCUCUAGGCCAAAAACUGGGAACAAAGUCUAGCGAAGAAAGUCCUCCCUGCAGGUGCUCAGUGUGGCAGGGGUGGGAUGACGGGCAUAGGAUGGCGGGGGUGGGAUGGCAGGGGCAGGAGAGACACUGAGCCCUCAGCCAGUAAGCACCCUGGCAAGCGUGUGGGGAAAGGCAGGACAGAGCCCACAGGGGUCCAGGGGUGUGGGACAUAAUCCUCCCUGGCAAGGAAAGCCAAGGCAGCAUCUGGGCCGAGUCCUUGGACGUGCCAGCAGUGAAGAGGGACCGGCAUGUGAAACUCAUGGGGCAGCCCUGCAGUGACCCAGCAAGUGGAAGGGUGACAGUUCCCUCUCACAGGGAGCUCCCAGUGUGAGCAUGGAGGACCACGGGAAGGUGCUGUGAAGGUGGGCAACACCCAGCUCUCAGAGGGGCUUGCAAGCUAAGGAACUGAAAUUUUGUCUGAAAGUAUGUGGUCAGGUACAGAAGAAGUAACAAAGGCAACAAGAUCGAAAUUCUAGAAAAGCCAUUUUGGCUGCAGUGGGGAGGGUGGAUUAUAGAAGAGAGACACAGGCAGGGAGGACAGUUAAGAGGCUGCUGCUGCAGGCCAGGGAACACUGGUGGAGGCUGAACUUCAUGGUGACUGGCUGGUCAUGGGGAUGGUGGAGAAGGGGAACUCCAGGUCUGUACAACCAGGUGACUGUGGGAUGGCUGCCCGAAUGGGGAAAACACGAGCAAAGAGUUUCAGAGGCGGCUGAAGAGCACAGGUCUGGACAUGCUAAGGUUGAUGUGGCUGUGGGGUGCAGAGAGAAGUUGUAAUCAUGGGGCUCAGGCUUGAGAGAGGGGCCAGGGCCACAGAGAAUGUUCCUCAGCAUGACAGUGAAGCCACAGGUAUGCAAGAAGCUGUCAGUGAGGGAAAGAAGGGUGCAAAGAGCUGACAGCCAAGGACAGAACUGCAGAGAAUACCAGGAAAGAGGAGUCCAAGGAGGGCACAGCGAGGGGCAGGAGGAGCUGCAGGAGCAACUGGUCCCAUGGAAGCCACGAGAGGAGAGGAGUUUCCAGAAUGAGAGAGUGGCCAGCCACAGUCAACACUGUGAGAGGCCAAAGAAUUUGGAUUUGGCAAUAAAAAAUUCUUCAGGGGAUUUAUCAGAAGUAGGUUCCGUGGAGUGGCAGAGAACACCUGGUCAUGGGAAGUAGAGGGGAAAGGAGGAGGAUAACAGUGGAUAUGGUGAAUGAGGGCUUCUUCUAUUUUGAGGUCACCUGCAAAGGGGGUUUAACAGGAAGCUCAGUGGAGGAUGGGGGCCACCCAUCUGUCCUUUCAAGACAGGAAAGACUUAUACAGGUUCAUCUGCUGAAAAGAGUCCAAUGAGAUUCACAGGUUCAAGAUAUGGCAGAGACGAGGUGAGCGCACCUACAUUAUGCCUGGGACACAAAAAUGAAAUGAACAUGGCUCCUGCCUGCAGGGAGUGUGCAGUCCAUUAUGGGGGUCGAUACGCAUCCACAUAAAAAACAGGGACAAACAGAAGAGCACAAAUAGAGCGCUGUGAGCAUUCAGAUGCAUCUGUGAAAUGCGUGUAUGAUGCGAGCUGGGAAUUUGGGAGCAGCAAAAACAGAGCCCCUGUACUCUAAAGCUGUAAAGGACCCUGGAGAUCAUGCAGUCAGUGCCCUCGGCUGACAGGUAUGAAGGGAAUAAGUGACUGCAUAGACACAGGUGAUUAACGACAGAGCUGGGAACACACAACUCUAAUAUCUCCACUCAAUCUGGUGAUGCCUCCCCUAAACCACACUGCUUCUCCAUAAAAUGUCCAAUGUGGGACUUGGCCAUAUGAGCCUUCGGUUAAGAACGGCAUGCUUCACUCACUGAAGGGGGCAGACACACACUGUUUGAAGGCACCUGCAAUAUUGCCUUAGGGGAAAGUAAUCUUCCCUUCCCCCUAACUCCUGUAGGACCUGAUCUCUAUAGCUGUAUGACUCGUAUGACACCAAGACUGCAGUCUUAGCAUUCGUGCAGCUGCUCAGAGAAUUGGCUUGUGCUGCCGUAAGACUCUGCAGAAGGCUCGGCGAAGCAGCAGUGGUGGUGAUAACUCAGCUACUGCCACUGCACACCCUGAACUUUGUUUUGCUCUUUCCUGGGCUCAGCAGGGGAAAAAUCAACUUCGCAGAGCCAUGGAUUGUCAGACCAUGGUGAAUUCUGAAUAGAUGGUCACCCCACUUCAGACGCUAUAUGUUAGAUGCUGGCAAGAGGAAGAUGAGAAGCGGUUCUCAUUGUGAUGGAGCUUGCAGUGUGGUACGAGAGAUAGAUACAGCAACCAUUUCCCACAGUGUGAUAACAGGCAUGUUAAGAGCUGUACGGUGGGAACUCAGAGAAGAGACACCACACACAGAUGGAGGAAGGACACACUGGGGAAGGCGUCUAAGAUGAAGCUAUGUCUGCAUUCAUUCUCAAAGGAAUCCUCAUGUUAACCAGAAGAUGUGGAAAGGACAUUUCAGGGAAAAGAACAAUUUAUUUGGAGGCACAGAACAAGAGAAAAUAGGCCCUACUGUUGAUUAAGAACAAUGAUAUGAUAUCCUAACCAACAGAGGAAGCAACGGAAGUUGUUUUUUUUUUGAGACGGAGUCUCGCUCUUUCGCCCAGGGUGGAGUGCAGUGGUGUGAUCUCGGCUUACUGCAAGCUCCGCCUCCCGGUUCACGCCAUUCUCCUGCCUCAGCCUCCUGAGUAGCUGGGACUACAGGUGCCCAUCACCACGCCUGGGUAAUUUUUUUUGUAUUUUUAGUAGAGACGGGGUUUCACCAUGUUAGCCAGGAUGGUCUCGAUCUCCUGACCUUGGGAUCCACCCACCUCGGCCUCCCAAAGUGCUGGGAUUAUAGGCGUGAGCCACCACGCCCGGCCAAUGGAAGUUGUUAAAAAGAACAUUCGCCGAAAACAAGACACCUAAAGCACAAGACUAACAGUGAGGAGUAUGUUCAUGGGCUGGAGAAUUUCAAGUAAAAAGAAAUUUCAUUCCUGAAUGAAAUCCUCCCUAGGUGCCAGGACAGGCGGCAGCCAGUGGCCACACCCUGAGCACCCUUCUCAAGAGCUAAUGAUGAAAUGAGUGGGGUCAGAACUGUUGCUUCUCAACUGCUUCCCCAUGACUAGGGAUCCUGGCCCUCCCUGCUGCCAGAAUUAGAUGGGGCUGGAGGCAGGAUCUCAUGCUCUGCCCUGCACAUGCCUGCAGGUCCCAGUAGACAGCAGGAGACCAGGGGAGGGCCCAGGUGAAGUGGUGGUCGCUAAUUCAACGUACCUACUGUGUGGCUAGGGUCAGGGUUGCCGUUGAGGCCAAUUCCCAGGGGCUACCUCCUUCCUCCGUCUAUGAUAAGGGAGCACACGAUCUUCCAGAAUUUUUGCAAGGAGUCUCUGAAGAGACGUGUGCUAAUUAAACUGAGGAUGCAUCUCCAGCCACACAGAAUGAGAAGUUUUAAUUCAGGAGUGAGUAUUUUUUAGCACAGUAUGGGCUGUAUCUAAAAAAUCUUUAGUGGUCUGUGCUGUCAUGAUCUGUCUACACUGUUCAUUGAGUCUAAGAAUUUUACAAACACCAGCCUCUGACUUUACAGAGUGGUUUUCCUGAGUCAUGAUGAAACAAUUAAUGAGUCUAUUACUUAUGUUCAUCUCAGCUGCACUUGCAGCAAGCCUGGAAGAUGACAGGAGAUCUCCGGUCCUCUCACGCAAGGCUGCAGCAUGCCUGCAUGGAAACGGCGGGAGCAUGAGUUUUGGAAAUAGAUCCUGUUGACAGGAGUAAAUGGGACUUCACACGUUUCUUCAAGUUCACAUUGCUAUCAAGAAAGGCUUCUAAACCCAUUCAUGUGAAGAUUUCCUUGACGGUACAUGAAUUUUUAGAAGUUUUUUUUUUUUUUUUUUGAAGAAUAACACUUUGCCUAAAGCCACACGUUAAGGUACUGGUUAACUUCUUGGUCUUUAUUUAGCCCUAUUUGUUUAAAAACCAAUGAAACAUAGUGAAAGGGGAAAUUUCAAGGGCUCCUUCCCUUCCCUCCUCCUGGGGUGAAGGAACUAGAGUCAAGUGUGGUCCUGAGAAGGUAUCUGCUGAAGCUCUGUUGCUCCUGUGUACUAAGAAUCAGUGUCCUAUGCACAAUCAAGGUGAGCUCGUGGAGGGGAGCAUCUUGGCACACAGAGGUAUGGCCCUUCAGGGGUCUCCUUGGGCUUUCAGUGAGCUGGAGCUUCUUGAGGACAGGCCCCUGUCUCACUGUCCCUUCUACCCCAAAGCUAAGCUUCUGCACCCACGACAGCACACAGUGGCUUGGUUCUGACCCAGCACCAGUUGCCACCGGCGCCUCCAUCCCUGUCGCCCUGGUAGGAGCCACCUGUUGGUGGCGGACCACACAAGCCUCCUAGCAUCGGGCCUCCCCCUUCAUCCCACCUCCUGGGGAUAAGCGGCCCAUGGUCCUCCCAUCUCUUCUCCCUCCCUACACACACACUGUCCCAGAGCUGAGUGGUCCACCCUGGUCUUCACCCUGGCUGGCCUGUGACUGGGCCUGAUGCCCCUCACUCCUGAGUAAGCUGACCUUCCACGCUUCACACAAGGCCCCAGCUGUGACUCAUGAAAAUGAAAAUGAGAGUACGACUUUAGAGCAAAGCCAUUUCUCAAGUCUGAGGGGUAAGUGCACGCACAGAGCACUGCACACAGUUCUGCCAACAGCUGUCACCACCUGGUGCCGCCGUGAAGCUGGCCACAGAGCAGCUGCACUCAGCAGCCAUGCUCUCCAGAGUCACUGCUAUGGACAGUCUCGUGGGACUCUCUGAAGCCCUCUGCCUCGGUGGGUCUCUGCUGUAGGAAGGGAGGGUUCCGAGCCAACACAGGCCUAGUCUGGAGACCGAGUCCUAGGGGAAGGAAGUGGCUGCGGGCAGGGGGCACAGCUGGUUCCUCACACAUAGGAGAACUCAUGUUGGAACUUGUUUAACCCCAGCCAUCACCAAUUGAUGAGUUAACCACCUUUAACACGAGAUUCAAUAAAACAUGCCAUUUUUAACCUGAAA
Symphalangus syndactylus (siamang) is the source of this 5871-nucleotide long non-coding RNA. RefSeq lists it as uncharacterized. Lineage: Eukaryota; Metazoa; Chordata; Mammalia; Primates; Hylobatidae. The record is from RefSeq and is a predicted model, not a curated record.